Long non-coding RNA from Sapajus apella (tufted capuchin), 100 nucleotides. RefSeq lists it as uncharacterized. The transcript is spliced from 3 exons. The record is from RefSeq and is a predicted model, not a curated record. Lineage: Eukaryota; Metazoa; Chordata; Mammalia; Primates; Cebidae.
CCACAGGUCCCAUGGCUCCCACGGCUUCCAUGGCUUCCAGCACACAGUUCAUGCUCUCAGCCUGCCACCCAGCCUCCCUUCCCUGUCUCGCCCUCCACUU